Long non-coding RNA from Gasterosteus aculeatus aculeatus (three-spined stickleback), 2231 nucleotides. NCBI's taxonomy places the organism in Eukaryota, Metazoa, Chordata, Actinopteri, Perciformes, Gasterosteidae. The record is from Ensembl.
AGGUGAAUGUGGAACACUGUGGACGAGCAAAGACAUGCAUGCACUAAUCUUUUAUUGUUUCGGAAAGUUCAUUUUCUAUGUAGUUCUACGUUAAAUGACAUUACAAAUAGUAGCUUUAUCUCUGAUUAACAUCUCUCAGGAAACUGAAGAAAAGAGAACAGAAGUGUGGCACUCGCCCAGAUGUCACAAUAUGUGAAUUGACAAACACUAAGAAGGCAAGAAAAAAAUGUUAUCUUAUCUUUUGGAAUGUUAAGUAGUCUCUAUGCCAUAAAACCGAAAAGAUUAGGAAUAGAUUUGUAAGACGCAGCUUUCCUACAGUUUUAAAUGAUCCACAUUGGCAUAUAUGUUGUCUAAGUGAUCCGCACUUUGAUCCAUCUGAUCUGGAUGGGCCUGCAAAGACAGACGUUGGGUUACAUAUUGGUCUGCGGUUUGUGUCUCAGUUCCCGGCUAUUUAGUAUAUUGAUCGCAUGUAUCGUACCUCAAUGUUGGCGUAAACCGGUUCCUCAAUGUCUUUCUGUUCAGAAACUUUACUGUUCUCUGGUUUCUGGCAAGACGCUUCCCUGAAAAGACAAAAGAGACAUAAGCACAGAGUAUUAAACGUUGCUUCUUAUUUUGCAUAGAACAAAUAAUGUCUACAUUGUAAUUUGAUUUCACAAUGGUAUCAAGAAACAAACCUUUGCAGUUGGUUUGCUCGGCUGAAAUUAGCAUAAUAUCUUGAAUCCUCCCUGAUAAAGGAUGCUGACCUGUGCAAGUUGUGAAAAAUAUAUUAGCCUUUCAUCUAUAUAAAAAUAACUACAUAACAUAAGUUGUAUGACAUGCUCAAUAAAAACAAAACAUUCCAAAAUCAUUGUAUGAUUUGUUAAUAUAUUUUUGAUUACAUCAGAUCAAAACAUGAAAGCUGAAGUUACCUUUUGUGUUUUAUGCCAAGGACAAUUCCAACAACAACAAUGAUGGUCAGAAUGGCAACAACUGGUACGGAGAUGGACACAUGCUUUAGUAGAUCAUUCUCCGGGUCUGCUCCCACUGUGGACAGUAAUAUGGUUAAUAAUGGAAACCAAAUGACAUAUUUAGACGCAUUUAAUGUUCUAAACAUUGUAAACAUACCUGGUUGUCCUUGAGUGAUGGGAGUUAGCUGUGUUGUACCUAAAAAGAAAUGUUUUGUUAUUUACUUGCAUUUACUUACCUUACUUUUCUGACAUGAAUACAAAUAUUAAAUAGCUUUUUAGUAAAAUUGAGGAGUACAGGAACAAAGUAUUUGAAUGUGAAAGAGAGAGUAAAAGCCUACCGGGUAUACCUGGAACAAUUAGCAGAGCACCAGUUACAGCAAUGGAGACACUAUUUUGUGAAAAACUGUAGUUGUCCCCCUUUGCAAUAAGUCUCACAUAGAUGUUUGGGACAUUAUCCCUGAUAUUGAAGAUCUUGAGGGAGCAGUUCCCUGCGCUUUUAUUUCCCAUGAGCCGGGUCUUUCCUCUGUACUUCUCAAGCACAAACGUCUCGUUUGGGUGAAAAAUAAAAGCAUUUUUGUCGUUGUCAAAAGUAUUAAAUUUGCUUUUCUCAUCCUUUUUCCAGAAAACUUGCAUACUUUCCGUGUAAUGUUUAGUUGGAACGGUGAAGUGACAUUGAAUGGUCACGUUUGAACCCAAGGUUGCAUUGAUAUGUCUGCUGACAUCAAUAUUCCAGCUUUCACCUUGGAACAAAACAAGAACAGAAUUGACAUUGUCCACAACGUAUAAUUCAUUACAUUACAUUAAAUGACAUGUCAAUUAGCUGACCUACAAUAGGUGCAUUUAAAUCACGAGGAGACAAACCCAGAAGAACAAGAAACAAUUCAAUCCAUGAUUUAAAAUGAACGAACAUUGACUCAUUAUGUCACCCACCUUCUGAAUUAGACGCCACGAUCAAUAUGAGGGUAUAAUCGAUCAGGCUUAUCAACUUCAUCUGAUCCAAGGAAGGUAUUCUGAAGUUGACCAACAUCCUGAAACUGUAUAGUGGACUCAGUUUUUCACCUCCAUCACAUCUUGUAGCUUACAUGAUUUAACGUUCUGGUGUUAAACCGCCUUUUCUCUGCAGAAAGUAGGUACUCACUGUGAAAGGGACCUCGGGGCUGAGUUGUGCUCUGUCAAUGUGUAUUACACUUAACAGUGAUGUGAAAUAGUUUCUUUCCUGUUCAUCACAUCACAAAAAAAGAGGAAGUUGGGACAGAGAUGUUCCCUUCAACCGUGAGAUGACUU